Molecule: small nuclear RNA, 105 nt
Organism: Suncus etruscus (white-toothed pygmy shrew)
Lineage: Eukaryota; Metazoa; Chordata; Mammalia; Eulipotyphla; Soricidae
Source: RefSeq, a predicted model, not a curated record
CUCGUUUCCGAAGGAAAAAAAAAAACUGAGAGCUGCAAAAGAGAAGAUUAGCAUAGCCCCUGAGCAAGGAUGACACACAAAUGUUAUAUACAGGAUCAUGCAGUU